UACGUAGGGAGCAAGCGUUGUCCGGAAUCAUUGGGCGUAAAGCGCGCGUAGGUGGCCAGGUAGGUCGGUUGUGAAAACUGGAGGCUCAACCUUCAGAGGUCGACCGAAACCAUCUGGCUAGAGUCCGGGAGAGGAGAGUGGAAUUCCUGGUGUAGCGGUGAAAUGCGCAGAUAUCAGGAAGAACACCCGUGGCGAAAGCGGCUCUCUGGAACGGUACUGACGCUGAGACGCGAAAGCGUGGGGAGCGAACAGG
This 253-nucleotide ribosomal RNA is filed under the name uncultured bacterium. Its description in RNAcentral is "partial 16S ribosomal RNA". It matches the Rfam family "Bacterial small subunit ribosomal RNA", at positions 524 to 776 of the family's 1533-position model. The record is from RNAcentral.